Molecule: ribosomal RNA, 467 nt
Filed under: uncultured Cupriavidus sp.
Lineage: Bacteria; Pseudomonadati; Pseudomonadota; Betaproteobacteria; Burkholderiales; Burkholderiaceae
Description: bacterial SSU rRNA
Rfam family: Bacterial small subunit ribosomal RNA
Source: RNAcentral
CCCUACGGGUGGCUGCAGUGGGGAAUUUUGGACAAUGGGGGCAACCCUGAUCCAGCAAUGCCGCGUGUGUGAAGAAGGCCUUCGGGUUGUAAAGCACUUUUGUCCGGAAAGAAAUCGCGCUGGUUAAUACCUGGCGUGGAUGACGGUACCGGAAGAAUAAGCACCGGCUAACUACGUGCCAGCAGCCGCGGUAAUACGUAGGGUGCGAGCGUUAAUCGGAAUUACUGGGCGUAAAGCGUGCGCAGGCGGUUUUGUAAGACAGGCGUGAAAUCCCCGGGCUUAACCUGGGAAUUGCGCUUGUGACUGCAAGGCUAGAGUGCGUCAGAGGGGGGUAGAAUUCCACGUGUAGCAGUGAAAUGCGUAGAGAUGUGGAGGAAUACCGAUGGCGAAGGCAGCCCCCUGGGACGUGACUGACGCUCAUGCACGAAAGCGUGGGGAGCAAACAGGAUUAGAUACCCGGGUAGUCG